RNAcentral lists this ribosomal RNA (484 nucleotides) under uncultured bacterium. RNAcentral describes it as "partial 16S ribosomal RNA". It matches the Rfam family "Bacterial small subunit ribosomal RNA", at positions 30 to 507 of the family's 1533-position model. The record is from RNAcentral.
AUUGAACGCUGGCGGCAGGCCUAACACAUGCAAGUCGAGCGGAUGAAGGGAGCUUGCUCCUGGAUUCAGCGGCGGACGGGUGAGUAAUGCCUAGGAAUCUGCCUGGUAGUGGGGGAUAACGUCCGGAAACGGGCGCUAAUACCGCAUACGUCCUGAGGGAGAAAGUGGGGGAUCUUCGGACCUCACGCUAUCAGAUGAGCCUAGGUCGGUUUAGCUAGUUGGUGGGGUAAAGGCCUACCAAGGCGACGAUCCGUAACUGGUCUGAGAGGAUGAUCAGUCACACUGGAACUGAGACACGGUCCAGACUCCUACGGGAGGCAGCAGUGGGGAAUAUUGGACAAUGGGCGAAAGCCUGAUCCAGCCAUGCCGCGUGUGUGAAGAAGGUCUUCGGAUUAUAAAGCACUUUAAGUUGGGAGGAAGGGCAGUAAGUUAAUACCUUGCUGUUUUGACGUUACCAACAGAAUAAGCACCGGCUAACUUCGUG